RNAcentral lists this ribosomal RNA (470 nucleotides) under uncultured bacterium. RNAcentral describes it as "bacterial SSU rRNA". It matches the Rfam family "Bacterial small subunit ribosomal RNA", at positions 28 to 491 of the family's 1533-position model. The record is from RNAcentral.
GAUGAACGCUAGCGGCAGGCCUAACACAUGCAAGUCGAGGGGCAGCACAGGUAGCAAUACUGGGUGGCGACCGGCGGAUGGGUGCGUAACGCGUAUGCAACCUACCAUUGAUUGGGGCAUAGCCCGAAGAAAUUCGGAUUAAUACUCCAUAAUAUUCAUCAAAGGCAUCUUUUAUGAAUUAAAGCUUUUGCGAUCAAUGAUGGGCAUGCGUGACAUUAGUUAGUUGGUGAGGUAACGGCUCACCAAAACGAUGAUGUCUAGGGGUUCUGAGAGGAUUAUCCCCCACACUGGUACUGAGACACGGACCAGACUCCUACGGGAGGCAGCAGUGAGGAAUAUUGGUCAAUGGGUGCGAGCCUGAACCAGCCAUCCCGCGUGCAGGAUGACGGUCCUAGUGAUUGUAAACUGCUUUUCUAUGAGAUGAAUAAGAAUUUACGUGUAGUUCGAUGACCGUAUUAUAAGGAAUAAGC